CGGGUGAGUAAUGCGUGACCAACCUGCCCCAUGCUCCAGAAUAGCUCUUGGAAACGGGUGGUAAUGCUGGAUGCUCCAACUUGACGCAUGUCUUGUUGGGAAAGUGUUUAGUGGCAUGGGAUGGGGUCGCGUCCUAUCAGCUUGUAGGCGGGGUAAUGGCCCACCCAGGCUUCGACGGGUAGCCGGCCUGAGAGGGCGGACGGCCACAUUGGGACUGAGAUACGGCCCAGACUCCUACGGGAGGCAGCAGCU
Molecule: ribosomal RNA, 252 nt
Filed under: uncultured Gardnerella sp.
Lineage: Bacteria; Bacillati; Actinomycetota; Actinomycetes; Bifidobacteriales; Bifidobacteriaceae
Description: partial 16S ribosomal RNA
Rfam family: Bacterial small subunit ribosomal RNA
Source: RNAcentral